Molecule: ribosomal RNA, 406 nt
Filed under: uncultured bacterium
Lineage: Bacteria
Description: partial 16S ribosomal RNA
Rfam family: Bacterial small subunit ribosomal RNA
Source: RNAcentral
AUUGAACGCUGGCGGCAGGCUUAACACAUGCAAGUCGAGCGAGCGGCGGACGGGUGAGUAAUGUCUGGGAAACCGCCUGAUGGAGGGGGAUAACUACGGGAAACGGUAGCUAAUACCGCAUACCAUCAGAUGUGCCCAGAUGGGAUUAGCUAGUGGGUGGGGUAAUGGCGAACCUAGGCGACGAUCCCUAGCUGGGCUGAGAGGAUGACAAGCCACCCUGGAACGGAGACAGGUUCCAGACUCCUACGGGAGGCAUCAGUGGGGAAUAUUGCACAAUGGGGGCAAGCCUGAUGCAGCCAUGCCGCGUGUGUGAAGAAGGCCUUCGGGUUGUAAAGCACUUUCAGCGAGGAGGCGUUACUCGCAGAAGAAGCACCGGCUAACUCCGUGCCAGCAGCCGCGGUAAUAC